GAAGCGUUUCGGCACCGGUGUGUCGCUUGGUCUUCAAAACCAAUGUGUGGGAUAACACUCACAGGCAGGUUCGACUCCUGUACGCUUCCGCCA
RNAcentral lists this transfer RNA (93 nucleotides) under Pseudodesulfovibrio sp. S3. RNAcentral describes it as "tRNA-Sec". It matches the Rfam family "Selenocysteine transfer RNA". Lineage: Bacteria; Pseudomonadati; Thermodesulfobacteriota; Desulfovibrionia; Desulfovibrionales; Desulfovibrionaceae. The record is from RNAcentral.